AGUGGAGUUUAGACAGAUGUAAAAAGAUAAAUACGGUGUUGGUGCGCUGAGGAGGACGUAAGCGGUUUGAAUGACAGGCACAAAUGUCCGUGAAAGACAAUGAAUGUCACCCGAAUUCAUAUAUUUGACAGCUUGAUUCUCAAAGUCGGCCUUUUCUCCGUAAUGUUGAAUCUCUUCUUCUGUUGUUGGGACCCAGAAAGGGUCGCUGUUUACCACCUGUGUUAAUGAAUGAAUACAAAUUAUUAGCAAUUAAAAAAAACAUAUGUGCGCAAAAAAUGAUUGGCUUAUUAAAUAAAGUCAUUAUUUGAGACUC
This is a non-coding RNA of Ciona intestinalis (vase tunicate), 313 nucleotides long. The record is from RefSeq and is a predicted model, not a curated record. NCBI's taxonomy places the organism in Eukaryota, Metazoa, Chordata, Ascidiacea, Phlebobranchia, Cionidae.